UAUGUCCACAUCAUGUUGAAACACCGGUUCCCGUGCGAUCACCGAAGUCGAGCCUGGUCAGUAACUAGAUGGGUGACCGCUUGGGAAUACCAGGUGCUGUAAU
Molecule: non-coding RNA, 103 nt
Organism: Acanthosepion pharaonis
Lineage: Eukaryota; Metazoa; Mollusca; Cephalopoda; Sepiida; Sepiidae
Source: the annotation of a GenBank genome assembly